Molecule: ribosomal RNA, 535 nt
Filed under: Prestonella nuptialis
Lineage: Eukaryota; Metazoa; Mollusca; Gastropoda; Stylommatophora; Bulimulidae
Description: partial 16S ribosomal RNA
Rfam family: Archaeal large subunit ribosomal RNA (bases 26-273)
Source: RNAcentral
UAUAUAUAAUGAUAUAAAUUAGUAAUAAUAUUAAUUCAUAUAAAGGAACUCGGCAAAUAUUUACUUGGACUGUUUAACAAAAACAUAACUUUCAGUAUUUAUUGAAAGCUUAACCUGCUCAGUGAUUUCUAUUUAACAGCCGCAGUACACUGACUGUGCUAAGGUAGCAUAAUCAAUUGGUCUUUAAUUGGGAUCGGGUAUGAAUGGAUUUACUAUGUAAAACUGUCUUGUUUAAGAAUAUUACGAAUUUACUUAAAGGGUGAAAAUUCCCUUAAAUUUAACAAAAGACGAGAAGACCCUUAGACUUUUUUAAAUGCAAAAUUAUGUUUAUUUUAUUUUGUUGGGGCGACAAUGAUUCAAAUUUUAACAAUCAGUUAACAUAAAUUUUUAUAUGAAGGUGUGUAUUAAGAAAAAUUAAAGUACCUAAGGGAUAACAGCAUAAUUAAUUAUUUAGAUUGUGACCUCGAUGUUGGAUUAGGUAAUAAAUUAUCAAGAAGAUAUUUUAUUAAGUCCUGUUCGAACUAUGAUUACCACA